This 83-nucleotide transfer RNA is filed under the name bacterium. RNAcentral's name for it is "tRNA-Leu". It matches the Rfam family "tRNA". From Rfam's summary of the family: Transfer RNA (tRNA) molecules are approximately 80 nucleotides in length. The record is from RNAcentral.
GUCGAUGUGGCGGAAUGGUAGACGUGCAUGCUUGAGGUGCAUGUGGGGUAACACCUGUGGGGGUUCAAGUCCCCCCAUCGACA